This 484-nucleotide ribosomal RNA is filed under the name uncultured bacterium. RNAcentral's name for it is "bacterial SSU rRNA". It matches the Rfam family "Bacterial small subunit ribosomal RNA", at positions 21 to 507 of the family's 1533-position model. The record is from RNAcentral.
GGCUCAGAUUGAACGCUGGCGGCAUGCCUUACACAUGCAAGUCGAACGGUAGAGUAGCAAUACUCGAGAGUGGCGAACGGGUGAGUAAUAUAUCGGAACGUGCCCAGUCGUGGGGGAUAACGUAGCGAAAGCUACGCUAAUACCGCAUACGAUCUACGGAUGAAAGCGGGGGAUCGCAAGACCUCGCGCGAUUGGAGCGGCCGAUAUCAGAUUAGGUAGUUGGUGAGGUAAAGGCUCACCAAGCCGACGAUCUGUAGCUGGUCUGAGAGGACGACCAGCCACACUGGGGCUGAGACACGGCCCAGACUCCUACGGGAGGCAGCAGUGGGGAAUUUUGGACAAUGGGCGCAAGCCUGAUCCAGCAAUGCCGCGUGCAGGAUGAAGGCCUUCGGGUUGUAAACUGCUUUGUACGGAACGAAACGGUGAGCUCUAAUACAGUUUGCUAAUGACGGUACCGUAAGAAUAAGCACCGGCUAACUACGUG